AGAUUGAACGCCGGCGGCAUGCCUUACACAUGCAAGUCGAACGGCAGCACGGGAGCAAUCCUGGUGGCGAGUGGCGAACGGGUGAGUAAUACAUCGGAACGUGCCCAAUCGUGGGGGAUAACGCAGCGAAAGCUGUGCUAAUACCGCAUAAGAUCUACGGAUGAAAGCAGGGGAUCGCAAAGACCUUGCGCGAAUGGAGCGGCCCGAUGGCAGAUUAGGUAGUUGGUGAGGUAAAGG
This 237-nucleotide ribosomal RNA is filed under the name uncultured soil bacterium. RNAcentral's name for it is "partial 16S ribosomal RNA". It matches the Rfam family "Bacterial small subunit ribosomal RNA", at positions 26 to 263 of the family's 1533-position model. The record is from RNAcentral.